Molecule: ribosomal RNA, 316 nt
Filed under: uncultured bacterium
Lineage: Bacteria
Description: bacterial SSU rRNA
Rfam family: Bacterial small subunit ribosomal RNA
Source: RNAcentral
GAUAAACGCUGGCGGCGCACAUAAGACAUGCAAGUCGAACGGACUUAACUCAUUCUUUUAGAUUGAGAGCGGUUAGUGGCGGACUGGUGAGUAACACGUAAGCAACCUGCCUAUUAGAGGGGAAUAACAGUGAGAAAUCAUUGCUAAUACCGCAUAUGCUAACAGUAUCGCAUGAUACAGUUAGGAAAGGAGCAAUCCGCUAAUAGAUGGGCUUGCGUCUGAUUAGCUAGUUGGUGAGAUAACAGCCCACCAAGGCGACGAUCAGUAGCCGGUCUGAGAGGAUGAACGGCCACAUUGGAACUGAGACACGGUCCAA